UUGCAAGUUCUCGGGCCAGCAGCCGCGGUAAUUCCAGCUCUCAAGGUGCAUAGAAAUUAUUGCUGCGGGUUAAAAAGCUCGUAGUUGGAUCUGUGCCAUAGGACGGGGUCUACCUUCGGGUACGCACUUCGCUCCUAGGCUUUUUGCUGGUUUUCCCGUCGUAGCCUUCACUGGUUGCGGCGGGUGGCUGGCGAGUUUACUUUGAGAAAAUCAGAGUGCUCAACACAGGCGUAUAGCUUGAAUGAUUGUGCAUGGAAUAAUAGAAAAGGAUUUCGGUCCUCUUUUAUUGGUUUUGUGGACUGAGAUAAUGGUUAACAGGGACAAACGGGGGCAUUCGUAUCGCUGCGUGAGAGGUGAAAUUCUUGGACCGUAGCGAGACGCCCUACUGCGAAAGCAUUUGCCAAGAAUGUCUUCAUUAAUCAAGAACGAAAGUCAGAGGUUCGAAGGCGAUCAGAUACCGCCCUAGUUCUGACCGUAAACGAUGCCAACUAGCGAUCCGCCGGUGGAUUUUUAGCCCUGGUGGGUAGCUUCCCGGAAACGAAAGUCUUCCGGUUCCGGGGGAAGUAUGGUUGCAAAGCUGAAACUUAAAGGAAUUGACGGAAGGGCACCACCCGGAGUGGAGCCUGCGGCUUAAUUUGACUUCAACACGGAGGG
This 654-nucleotide ribosomal RNA is filed under the name Acrobeloides maximus. Its description in RNAcentral is "SSU rRNA". It matches the Rfam family "Eukaryotic small subunit ribosomal RNA", at positions 553 to 1212 of the family's 1831-position model. Lineage: Eukaryota; Metazoa; Nematoda; Chromadorea; Rhabditida; Cephalobidae. The record is from RNAcentral.